AACCUCCGCAAUGUGAGAAAUCGCGACGGGGGGAUCCCAAGUGCCAUUCUUAACGGGAUGGCUUUUCAUUAGUGUAAAGAGCUUUUGGAAUAAGAGCUGGGCAAGACCGGUGCCAGCCGCCGCGGUAACACCGGCAGUUCUAGUGGUAACAAUUUUUAUUGGGCCUAAAGCGUCCGUAGCCGGUUUAAUAAGUCUCUGGUGAAAUCCUGCAGCUUAACUGUGGGAAUUGCUGGAGAUACUAUUAGACUUGAGACCGGGAGAGGUUAGAGGUACUCCCAGGGUAGAGGUGAAAUUCUGUAAUCCUGGGAGGACCGCCUGUUGCGAAGGCGUCUAACUGGAACGGUUCUGACGGUGAGGGACGAAAGUUAGGGGCGCGAACCGGAUUAGAUACCCGGGUAGUCCUAACUGUAAACGAUGCGGACUUGGUGUUGGGGUGGCUUUGAGCUGCUUCAGUGCCGAAGGGAAGCUGUUAAGUCCGCCGCCGGGGAAGUACGGUCGCAAGACUAAAACUUAAAAGGAUU
Molecule: ribosomal RNA, 521 nt
Filed under: uncultured bacterium
Lineage: Bacteria
Description: bacterial SSU rRNA
Rfam family: Archaeal small subunit ribosomal RNA
Source: RNAcentral